Molecule: long non-coding RNA, 476 nt
Organism: Chelonia mydas (Green sea turtle)
Lineage: Eukaryota; Metazoa; Chordata; Testudines; Cheloniidae
Exons: 3
Source: RefSeq, a predicted model, not a curated record
UUAUUUUACAAAUGUGCAAACGAGGAGCUUUCUCUCCGGUGGAUAAGCAAUGCAGGGUAGAACCCAAAGACACCUUGCACAAGCUGUGUAUUGCUUAAACCGUAGCGUCCAUUAGAGCAGCCCAAUCUGCUUAAUCGUUCAUUUCUUCACGUGGCACAGAGAUACAGCCCAAAAGACUAGUGCUUGACUGCUAAUAAGAAAGAGAAGAUGACUCACUGCUACUAAAGCUCCUCCAGCUCAGCCACCCAGGCCUCCAAAGCUCGUAUGCAGACUCUGAGGGCCAGGAGCUCCUUGCACCGAAUGCACACAUACGCCACCUGCCCACAGAGAAGAGUGACAACUGAGUCCUUUUAUUCCGGUACCCUCUAACAAUCAACAGGAUAUUACUCCAAGUAGUGACAUUAAGGCCCUGGUUCUGCAAGAUGCUGAGCACUCUGGCUCCAGUCCAGCAAAGCACAUAAGUAUGUGCUUAACUU